CAAUAGCCCCGAUGGGAGUGGCAUCCCAUCUCGUUUUUUCUACGAGAUGGAUAGAACGGACAGCGGGAAAAUGG
This 74-nucleotide small RNA is filed under the name Flavobacterium enshiense DK69. Its description in RNAcentral is "Flavobacterium sp. DK69 Flavo-1 RNA". It matches the Rfam family "Flavo-1 RNA". Lineage: Bacteria; Pseudomonadati; Bacteroidota; Flavobacteriia; Flavobacteriales; Flavobacteriaceae. The record is from Rfam by way of RNAcentral.